UUUUGCUGUUAUGAUUUUUGUGAAAUGCCUAUUUUCUUUAGGUUUUGAAUAUAUUUUUUAUUUUUUACAUUUUAAUCACUUUUGUUUGUUUAUUAUCAUUUUUUUAGUGGUGUUUCUAAGAAAUUCUAAUUGAACUAUUUAUUCCAAUCUAAAAUAUUUGACCCCUCCAAAGUUAUAAUCCUGGUUUCGUUCUUGAUUCUAGCCGUAUUUUUUAACAUUGAGGCCUAGAAAUUCUGGGCACGUCUAGUUGCACUCUGUUUUUACUCUUCUUCUUCUUCUUCUUUUUUUUUUUUUUUUUAAAUUAUUUUAUUUAUUUAUUUGGGAUACAUUUGGGGAGGCUGUUUUCAAACCCAAGACCUCCAUUUUGAAAGCUUGGGGGUUAUGCCCAUCAGGCUACGGGACUUUUGACAGUUGCACUCUGUUUUAAGUGUUCGUUAUGUUGUUAAAUCUAUACCGAUACACAAUAUAGAUAGCAAUUGUCACUUCUCUUAAAACCGGUUCAUAGCAUUUGUCACUUAAUGAAGGCCAUUGUUGUUUCAACAUGUCAGUGUUUGUCACCUGUGUUCGGAAGCUCCAUGAAAUGUACAUCUAGGCAUCUUCAAGUGGAAUUUUCACUUGUGACAUGAUGUCUGAACAGUGCCUGGCCACCAUGCACGUCAAAUACCUUUGUUAACAUCAAAGAGAAAUACUUCAAACAGGACGGGUGUUUGUUUUCCUUUUACACCGGCCAAUAGAACUUUAACAUAUAUAGGACUUAUGUGUGUUACAGUGCGUGCGAGUUCAGUGGAUUUUUUAUUUCUCCCUUUGUACCAUCUCCUCUUCCCUUUGUCUCCUCUCCUUUCCUCUCCACAACCUAGCUUUUUUCUCCUCUUUCUCCUCUUCUCCCUCUCUUCUAUUUCCCAUUCCCUUUUCCCUUUCUCCUUUCGUCCCAUCUCAGAGAUUCUGUGGAGGGUGAUUUAGAAUGAACUGAUUUCCCUCCCUCAACUCGAUCGAUUCCGCUCAAUUUUAACAAAACAACUUUGAAAUAGGACAAUAACUCUGAUGCUUGAAAUGGGAGCGAAUGAAGAGUGAUUUGCAAAUAGGAGUGAAAAAGUAAUUGGUCACCAGCAAGAGAUCUAUAUGAAGAGAUGGGCGCAUAUCCUUUCACUUAAAAAUGAAGAAAUUGGAAACAAGUACAAAGAGUCAUUCAGAUUAACCAAGUUGAAUAUUAUUGGACUGGAAAUUGAAAUGUAUUUGUCUAGAAAAGUUAUGAAAUCUGAGUUCAUUUAAACAUUGUUUUAAUCUCAUAAGGAUGCUGCAGAGGAUGAAUUUUAGAGUUGCAAUAUUGGAUUUUCGGUUGUAAAUUUUCAGUUAUUAAUUUCCGA
This is a long non-coding RNA of Carya illinoinensis, 1364 nucleotides long. RefSeq lists it as uncharacterized. NCBI's taxonomy places the organism in Eukaryota, Viridiplantae, Streptophyta, Magnoliopsida, Fagales, Juglandaceae. The transcript has 2 exons. The record is from RefSeq and is a predicted model, not a curated record.